This is a non-coding RNA of Heteronotia binoei (common prickly gecko), 73 nucleotides long. The record is from the annotation of a RefSeq genome assembly. NCBI's taxonomy places the organism in Eukaryota, Metazoa, Chordata, Lepidosauria, Squamata, Gekkonidae.
CCUUCGAUAGCUCAGCUGGUAGAGCGGAGGACUGUAGAUCCUUAGGUCGCUGGUUCGAUUCUGGCUCGAAGGA